AUGCAAGACGAACGGGAAACCUUUUAUUGAAGCUUCGGCAGAUUUAGAUUGUUUCUAGUGGCGGACGGGUGAGUAACGCGUGGGUAACCUGCCUUGUACAGGGGGAUAACAGUCAGAAAUGACUGCUAAUACCGCAUAAGUGCACAGGACCGCAUGGUCCGGUGUGAAAAACUCCGGUGGUAUAAGAUGGACCCGCGUUGGAUUAGCUAGUUGGUGGGUAACGGCCCACCAAGGCGACGAUGCGUAGCCGACCUGAGAGGGUGACCGGCCACACUGGGACUGAGACACGGCCCAGACUCCUACGGGAGGCAGCAGUAGGGAAUUUUCGGCAAUGGGGGAAACCCUGACCGAGCAACGCCGCGUGAAGGAAGAAGUAAUUCGUUAUGUAAACUUCUGUCAUAGGGGAAGAACGGUGCGUGUAGGGAAUGACAUGCAAGUGACGGUACUCUAUAAGAAAGCCACGGCUAACUACGUGCCAGCAGCCGCGGUAAUACGUAGGUGGCGAGCGUUAUCCGGAAUUAUUGGGCGUAAAGAGGGAGCAGGCGGCACUAAGGGUCUGUGGUGAAAGAUCGAAGCUUAACUUCGGUAAGCCAUGGAAACCGUAGAGCUAGAGUGUGUGAGAGGAUCGUGGAAUUCCAUGUGUAGCGGUGAAAUGCGUAGAUAUAUGGAGGAACACCAGUGGCGAAGGCGACGAUCUGGCGCAUAACCGACGCUCAGUCCCGAAAGCGUGGGGAGCAAAUAGGAUUAGAUACCCUAGUAGUCCACGCCGUAAACG
This 775-nucleotide ribosomal RNA is filed under the name uncultured bacterium. RNAcentral describes it as "bacterial SSU rRNA". It matches the Rfam family "Bacterial small subunit ribosomal RNA", at positions 55 to 808 of the family's 1533-position model. The record is from RNAcentral.